CCUACGGGUGGCAGCAGUGAGGAAUAUUGGUCAAUGGCCGAGAGGCUGAACCAGCCAAGUCGCGUGAGGGAAGACGGCCCUACGGGUUGUAAACCUCUUUUGUCGGGGAGCAAAGCGAACCACGUGUGGUUCAUUGAGAGUACCCGAAUAAAAAGCAUCGGCGAACUCCGUGCCAGCAGCCGCGGUAAUACGGAGGAUGCGAGCGUUAUCCGGAUUUAUUGGGUUGAAAGGGUGCGAAGGCGGAGGUGCAAGUCAGCGGUCAAAUUGCGGGGCUCAACCCCGUACUGCCGUUGAAACUGCAUCCCUUGAGUGCGCGAGAAGUCUGCGGAAUGCGUGGUGUAGCGGUGAAAUGCAUAGAUAGCACGCAGAACUCCGAUGGCGAAGGCAGCAUACCGGCGCGCAACUGACGCUCAUGCACGAAAGCGUGGGUAUCGAACAGGAUUAGAUACCCUGGUAGUC
Molecule: ribosomal RNA, 459 nt
Filed under: uncultured bacterium
Lineage: Bacteria
Description: partial 16S ribosomal RNA
Rfam family: Bacterial small subunit ribosomal RNA
Source: RNAcentral